GACGAACGCUGGCGGCGUGCUUAACACAUGCAAGUCGAACGAAGAGCGACGGAAGCUUGCUUCUAUCAAUCUUAGUGGCGAACGGGUGAGUAACGCGUAAUCAACCUGCCCUUCAGAGGGGGUCAACAGUUGGAAACGACUGCUAAUACCGCAUACGAUCUAACCUCGGCAUCGAGGAUAGAUGAAAGGUGGCCUCUACAUGUAAGCUAUCACUGAAGGAGGGGAUUGCGUCUGAUUAGCUAGUUGGAGGGGUAACGGCCCACCAAGGCGAUGAUCAGUAGCCGGUCUGAGAGGAUGAACGGCCACAUUGGGACUGAGACACGGCCCAGACUCCUACGGGAGGCAGCAGUGGGGAAUCUUCCGCAAUGGACGAAAGUCUGACGGAGCAACGCCGCGUGAGUGAUGACGGCCUUCGGGUUGUAAAGCUCUGUUAAUCGGGACGAAAGGCCUUCUUGCGAAUAGUGAGAAGGAUUGACGGUACCGGAAUAGAAAGCCACGGCUAACUACGUG
This 510-nucleotide ribosomal RNA is filed under the name uncultured bacterium. Its description in RNAcentral is "partial 16S ribosomal RNA". It matches the Rfam family "Bacterial small subunit ribosomal RNA", at positions 28 to 507 of the family's 1533-position model. The record is from RNAcentral.